UCCCUCUCACGGUGGCACCUGGAGAGUUUCCAGUAUUCUACCAGUCUUGGCUAUGGGAGGGAGAGUCAAGCAGAGGCAUAUCCAUUCCAUUCCCAGCUUGGUCAGUGGCUAGCGAGUGGAAAGCAAUCUGCUAUAAAU
RNAcentral lists this small nucleolar RNA (138 nucleotides) under Ornithorhynchus anatinus (platypus). Lineage: Eukaryota; Metazoa; Chordata; Mammalia; Monotremata; Ornithorhynchidae. The record is from RNAcentral.